Molecule: ribosomal RNA, 389 nt
Filed under: uncultured bacterium
Lineage: Bacteria
Description: bacterial SSU rRNA
Rfam family: Bacterial small subunit ribosomal RNA
Source: RNAcentral
CGGUAAUACGGAGGGWGCAAGCGUUAUCCGGAUUUAUUGGGUUUAAAGGGUCCGUAGGCGGACUUAUAAGUCAGUGGUGAAAGCCUGUCGCUUAACGAUAGAACUGCCAUUGAUACUGUAAGUCUUGAGUAUAUUUGAGGUAGCUGGAAUAAGUAGUGUAGCGGUGAAAUGCAUAGAUAUUACUUAGAGCACCAAUUGCGAGGGCAGGUUACCAAGAUAUAACUGACGCUGAGGGACGAAAGCGUGGGGAGCGAACAGGAUUAGAUACCCUGGUAGUCCACGCCGUAAACGAUGCUAACUCGUUUUUGGGCUUUAGGGUUCAGAGACCAAGCGAAAGUGAUAAGUUAGCCACCUGGGGAGUACGCUCGCGCAGAGUGAAACUCAAAGGA